UACGUAGGUGGCAAGCGUUGUCCGGAAUUAUUGGGCGUAAAGCGCGCGCAGGCGGUCCUUUAAGUCUGAUGUGAAAGCCCACGGCUCAACCGUGGAGGGUCAUUGGAAACUGGGGGACUUGAGUGCAGGAGAGAAGAGUGGAAUUCCACGUGUAGCGGUGAAAUGCGUAGAGUUGUGGAAGAACACCAGUGGCGAAGGCGACUCUCUGGGCUGUAACUGACGCUGAGGCGCGAAAGCGUGGGGAGCAAACAGG
Molecule: ribosomal RNA, 253 nt
Filed under: uncultured bacterium
Lineage: Bacteria
Description: partial 16S ribosomal RNA
Rfam family: Bacterial small subunit ribosomal RNA
Source: RNAcentral